This 429-nucleotide ribosomal RNA is filed under the name uncultured bacterium. RNAcentral's name for it is "bacterial SSU rRNA". It matches the Rfam family "Bacterial small subunit ribosomal RNA", at positions 355 to 776 of the family's 1533-position model. The record is from RNAcentral.
UGGGGAAUAUUGCACAAUGGGCGCAAGCCUGAUGCAGCAAUGCCGCGUGUGUGAAGAAGGCUCUAGGGUUGUAAAGCACUUUCAAUAGAGAAGAAAAGCUUGAAGUUAAUACCUUCAAGCCUUGACGUAACCUAUACAAGAAGCACCGGCUAAUUCCGUGCCAGCAGCCGCGGUAAUACGGAAGGUGCGAGCGUUAAUCGGAAUUACUGGGCGUAAAGCGAGCGUAGGCUGUUAAUUAAGUCGAAUGUGAAAUCCCCGGGCUCAACCUGGGAACUGCAUUCGAAACUAUUUGACUAGAGUAUGGGAGAGGAAAGUAGAAUUUCCGGUGUAGCGGUGAAAUGCGUAGAUAUCGGAAGGAAUACCAGUGGCGAAGGCGGCUUUCUGGAACAAUACUGACGCUGAGGUUCGAAAGCGUGGGGAGCAAACAGG